Long non-coding RNA from Dromaius novaehollandiae (emu), 1135 nucleotides. RefSeq lists it as uncharacterized. NCBI's taxonomy places the organism in Eukaryota, Metazoa, Chordata, Aves, Casuariiformes, Dromaiidae. The record is from RefSeq and is a predicted model, not a curated record. The transcript has 2 exons.
UUAUCUGGAUUCAUAGAAGUGAGGGAUUAGAUGAGAUGAUUAACAUGUUUUUGUUAUUUCCUUUUCUCCAGAGCAGCUCAAGUCCAGCUGUGCCUGAGAUUCCAUUCGCUUUGUUCCUGUCCUAUCACUGCAUCAGCCCUGGCCUGUAACUGGAAAGAUGUAUUUGGGAAUGAGAUUGGUAGCUGAAAUAUUCUGCUCCGAGAGAGCGUCCAGUUGACUUCUGCGUUCCCCACAGCCUAUAGCAUUUAACUGAAGGUUCUCAGCAGCAUCUUGAAGCCUGCUUACAGCCGAAAUGGAUUUUAAUGGAAGGCUGACUCACAAGGAGUGCUAUUAGUGACACCUACCCUGAUACCUUGCAUAAUCGCAGACUAUGCAAAGCUCAUAUGAUUCCUUUAUCAAACUCAACUGCUUACAGAAAGAAAGCAUCUGAAGGGGAUAGAAAGAAAGCAUCUGAAGGGGAUAGCUUGCACAUGGGCUUAAUUUAUCAGUACAUUAAAUUGGAAUCCCUAGCAGGUAGAUUUUUUUUAGCUCUUCUCAAAGAUUUUUUUUUUUUGCUAAAUUGCACUGAUGUGAUUUGGAAGAACAAUAAUUAAUUGCAGUUUACUUUGUUCCCAUCCUUCUUUAUGCCUUUGGAAAGAGAAGCAGUCAAUGGUUUACAAGGAUUAAUAAUCACAGCCUCACAAUGGCCUUCUGAAGUCAGAAGUGCUACUGCUAUUUGACAAAGGUAGCUGAAUGAUAUGCAACUCAGUGCAUAACUAUCUCCAUGUAAAAGAGUGGAGUUAAAGCACCAUGAGAGAGAGUCAGUGGCAGAACUGGCAGACAGGUCUCUGAUUUUUGCCACAGUCUUAGUAAAACCUCACUUAAGAAUCAACUUUUGCAAAUGCCCAUGCUUGUUUCAGCAGUUGCCUGCAAAAUAACAGAGGCUAGGGAAAUACAUUGCUCCCUGAUAACUCUGUGAUUUGCUGGCAUGUUUGUUACCAUGCUGCACUGAUAAACUACAACUCUCUGAUUUUCAUUAUCACUGACACAUACUACCAUUGAUAGUUAGCAGCCAUUUCGAAGUUUGAUGGAGAAUGGUAUUUUUUUCAAAAACUAAGUAUUUUACAAAAUACAAACUGACUAGUUCUUUUCUUAA